AGAAAGAGAAGGAGCAAAGAGAAACCCAAGCAGAUGCUACUAUUGAUUGAUUAUUUUUAAUUUACUGAUUGCCGAAUUUAUCCUUCUGAGUCAGAGUCACCUAGGCAAGACCAGCUGACUCCAGACACUUGAGCAAAAAAUGCCUGCCGCUGGAUGCCCUGAGGAUCUGAAGUUCUUUGUUACACAGCAUUACUAUGGCAAUAGGCGCUGUAUCAUGUCACAUUAAGAAAAGCCACACUAUUGAGAGUUCAAAGCCAUUGUGUCCCUGUGAAGAAAGGCCCAGAGUGCCAUCUAUCUGCGCUCUAGAGCCUACCAACUCACAGAGCUUAAAGUUCUGAGCUGGAAACAUGAGAAUUAAGAAGCCAGUGCUCAAAAUGACCAUGAGCUGCAUUUGACAGACAAUUUUCCAUCCUCCAUCAACACAUUGGAUUUCUUCGUAAUCGCCACCAACACUACCAGUUUUGCUUUCUGACCCUGCCUACCUCCUGGCUGGACAAAACAUCCCAAUUUCGAGCUUAAAAUGGAAACAAGAACUGAGGACUUUUUAAAAAUAGCUUUUUAAUGUAUAGGUGUCCUCUGGAGGUUCCAAGUAUAUUUCAAGAUAGAAACUGAUAAAUGAUGAUAACAACAGGGAGAGACUGCUGAUUCAUGGGAGGAAUUGAACUUCCCUUGGCCCUUGUGCUGGCCCCCAGCCAGCUGUGGAACAGAUGAGGCCAGUCAUUGUUUUAGAAAUAACAAUCUACUGAAAUGUGUAGGUAAUUCGUCCAUCUCUCCGAAGAGAGGGAAACAAUUCAACAAGAGAGGUAAACAGCCAUCAUACAGCAAUAUCCGUUUUAAAAACAAUCCCUUACUAUUUUGGGCAGCCUUGGAAAGUCCCCCAGUGCCACCUGGUUUAAUCAAAGCAUGACAUUUUCCACCUUUCAUAAGAAUAGAUGGGACUUAAUCCUGGACCCAUCAUGCCUCAGUCGUGUGGGCACAGCCCCUAUGUCCCUUGUGUAAAGACAGAAUGCACACCAUCUCUAAAUGUCCUGCUAAAGCUUUUAUCCCCUCCUCCUAAUAACUAUGCACCAUUUAUUUUUUUAAUGAUGAAAUUCCACCUGUUUGCAUUUGUGGACAUGUACGUCCCAUGGAUAGAUUAGAAAAAGAUCACUAGCAUGACACCGGAGAGCUCAAGUGGAAAUCAGCACAGGUUAUGCCUUCUGUCCUAUGAAAGAAUUCAAGGAGUCAGAAUCACCCUCUGCUUGCUGAAAGGUGCACCUGUUGGAACUUGUGAAAUUUGGACAUGAAACUUGGGUACCACUCUUUCUCCUUCACCCCCAGUCUCUGAGGAAGCAGACCGUGUCUGGAACUCAGGGAUGUAUGUAUGACGAAGAGUCCAAGCUUUGGCAUAGAGCUGCCUGCCACCCAGGCUGCGUGUUGGCAAGGUGAGAAAGGGGAGGAGGUUGGUAUCCUCUCUGACAUUACAUUUUCCAGAGAAUGAAGCUCUUUGAUCAGUUUCUGUCCCUGCAAGUUCCGAAUUUUCCAUCUCAUCCUAAUCAAAAGAAUCAGAGAAUGAUUUAUCAGAGGUAACUUUCUUAAUUGGAGGAGAGCCUAAAACAACUGUCUUGCUUUUUUUCCCCCUGGGGGAUGGGUAAAGGUGGAAUUAAUUGGUCUUCUCCUCAGGAAGGUGCCAGACACAGAAAGAUAUUUCCUAACUCCAGCUCAUAGGUCUUUCCUCUCCUCUCUGGUCUAAAAGGGAAAUUCCAUUUGUCACGUUUCUUCCUUGACACAGCAAAGCAAAGACUGUUACUGCGGGCAUUAAUGUAACUUUCAACAAUGGAAUAAACUGUGAGCCUCAAACAUGAAACUGUGGAAGCGAUUAAGAACUAGGAUGGAAAAUUUCUGCCAGCCAGAGAAUUAGGGACUUACCGUCUCUAGAGCAGGCUGUGUUUUAAAGUCUCAUUUUGAAGCUGAAAUCUGUCAUUUACGUUAAAAAGCAAAGGGUGAGGGUGGGGAGGAAGAAGUUCCAAAUAUGUCACCUGUGGAAGGACCACCUUGCUUGCUCAUUUCCCUGUCAUUUGGGAGAGCUAUUAUAGGCUCUUCUAUGAGACAUUUAAAACCUCUUUAAUACGGGCUUCCCUGGUGGCACAGUGGUUGAGAAUCCGCCUGCCAAUGCAGGGGACAUCGGUUC
Long non-coding RNA from Aethalodelphis obliquidens (Pacific white-sided dolphin), 2170 nucleotides. RefSeq lists it as uncharacterized. NCBI's taxonomy places the organism in Eukaryota, Metazoa, Chordata, Mammalia, Artiodactyla, Delphinidae. The transcript has 4 exons. The record is from RefSeq and is a predicted model, not a curated record.